CUGAAGGUUUGUCCGGCCGACUGUGGCUGAAGGCGAAUGCUCGUUCCGGUCCUUGCUGCCAAGCGUGCUCGGUGUUUUCUGGGGACUGCUGAACUGCGCAAUGCUAUAAAUGACGGUUCUGUUCCUGGAAAUCCAUUUCAUACCCUAAAAAUACCAAAAUUGACUAUGGAAAUGGAGGAAAACUAAACUAAAUAGUUUAAAUAAUGCAGAAAUAUAACUAAAGAGUGAAGACCGAUGUGGUGGAGACGCAUGCAGUUCAAGCAGCAGCUGUAGACUGGUAACUUUCAUAAAUCUAAUUAUCAAGCUACUCCAGAAAGUAAGUUAUCUGUGCAAAGCUGAGCACAGGAUUAAAGGAAAACUUUCAGAUCAAACCUAAUAUAAACAUGCCUUUACCUGUUACCAACUCUAGCUUUACAUUAAAACUAAAAGAUAUAAUUUUCCAGGUUUGUUUCCUUGUAUCUUUCCAUCUACUGAAAACCUGUCUCACUUCUGUUUUAUAGAGUUCUUACUCAGUUCCACAGACAACUCCUUUUAUUCAAACCCAGUGCUGCACUGUUUCCAUUGAAAACUCUCCAGGAGAACACUUUAAAGAGUCCACCUGAUGAGAGUAAAAUUGCAGAAUCAAGGAAUCAUUGCCUGAUAAAAUCAGACCCAACAUUCAGGGUUUUCAAGAAUAAUUUUUUUACAAACCCAAGAACUGGAAACAUUGAUUUCAAUGGGGUUCUGCAUGGGUGGGUAAACUGUCCACAUUGACAGUCACGGAAUCUAGGCUUUGGUAUUUGUUAGGCUGUGCUAUUGCAGAAUAGAUUUUUUUUUCCUGGAAUUAAUGCACCUUUAAAAAAAUCUGUCUGGCCUAUUCUUAGUUUAAUGUUUAUACAGUCUGCCUCUUUGCAGUAACGUAAGCAUAACUAAAUUAGGUGCGCACCUACUGAGAUAGUGAUCACAAGCGUUUGCUCGUGCCUGUAAGUACUAAUCAUCCUUUAUAAACCCACAGCAGAACAAGGAAGUUCAGAUGAAUAUGUAAAAUACAGUCUAGGGGGUUGUUACUUCUGUACAAACACGCAGAAAGUUUUCAAAGACAAAAGUUUGCAGCUAUUCCUGGAUACUGCUUUCCACUGUCAUGGUUAAGUUAGAACAACUCUAGAAAUCAAAAUAGUUUACUAGAGCUUAGGAGGUUUUUUUUUUUGUUUGUUUCCUUAUACUGUUAAAAGUUCGUGCCCUAGUACUCUUUAUAAAAGCUCAGGUGUCCUUCACUAUUAGAAGCAGUCUUCUUAAAAUAAGCUUUCCCCGCCUCUCAGUAUAAUACACUGAGGCUACGUCUACACUGCAGGGUUUUUGCACAAGAAGUCUUUUGUGGAAA
Molecule: non-coding RNA, 1360 nt
Organism: Pelodiscus sinensis (Chinese soft-shelled turtle)
Lineage: Eukaryota; Metazoa; Chordata; Testudines; Trionychidae
Source: RefSeq, a predicted model, not a curated record